UUAGGGUUUCCUCUGGGGUAAGUGAUUGCUUCUACACUGUGAAAAUUUGGCUGAGAGACUCAGACUGGUCAUGGGUAGACCUAUCUGGGGUUUGAUCGAUGCCACUCCUGGUUUCAGGAGUACCCUUCAUAAUAAACCUAGAAAUUCAGUAUUAUAAAGUUUAAUAAAAAACAACUUUUAACAAUGGAUCUCUUGGUUCUCGCAUCGAUGAAGAACGUAGCAAAGUGCGAUAACUAGUGUGAAUUGCAUAUUCAGUGAAUCAUCGAGUCUUUGAACGCAGCUUGCACUCUAUGGUUUUUCUAUAGAGUACGCCUGCUUCAGUAUCAUCACAAACCCACACAUAACAUUUGUUUAUGUGGUGAUGGGUCGCAUCGCUGUUUUAUUACAGUGAGCACCUAAAAUGUGUGUGAUUUUCUGUCUGGCUUGCUAGGCAGGAAUAUUACGCUGGUCUCAGGAUCUUUUUUUUUGGUUCGCCCAGGAAGUAAAGUACAAGAGUAUAAUCCAGUAACUUUCAAACUAUGAUCUGAAGUCAGGUGGGAUUACCCGCUGAACUUAAGCAUA
This 561-nucleotide ribosomal RNA is filed under the name Rhizopus arrhizus. Its description in RNAcentral is "eukaryotic LSU rRNA". The stretch from base 173 to 326 matches the Rfam family "5.8S ribosomal RNA". Lineage: Eukaryota; Fungi; Mucoromycota; Mucoromycetes; Mucorales; Rhizopodaceae. The record is from RNAcentral.